CCCUUAGAUGUUCUGGGCCGCACGCGUGCUACACUGAUGCAUUCAACGAGUCUAAAACCUGGUCUGAUAGGGCUGGGUAAUCUUUUGAAAGUGCAUCGUGAUUGGGAUAGAUGAUUGCAAUUCUUCAUCUUCAACGAGGAAUGCCUAGUAAACGCAAGUCAUCAGCUUGCAUUGAUUACGUCCCUGCCCUUUGUACACACCGCCCGUCGCUCCUACCGAUUGAAUGAUCCGAUGAAUACCAUGGAUUGAGAGUACGAAUAGGUUCGCUUAUUUCUGCUGCUCGAGAAGUGGAGUAAAUCUUAUCGUUUAGAGGAAGGAGAAGUCGUAACA
RNAcentral lists this ribosomal RNA (330 nucleotides) under uncultured eukaryote. RNAcentral's name for it is "partial 18S ribosomal RNA". It matches the Rfam family "Eukaryotic small subunit ribosomal RNA", at positions 1470 to 1796 of the family's 1831-position model. The record is from RNAcentral.